UAUGGAAAAUUCAUCAAAUCAUCGAAUCAUCUCAUAUUCCAACUUCAAAAACUAUCAGGAAACUUUCCCCUCGGAAAUAAAAUGUUUACCAAAACGCAAUUCAAAAUCUUCUUAGCGAUUAUCACAAUUCUUGUGGUAACCGCUCUCGCAACGGAAGAUGUCAUGACUCAAGAUGCCGAAACUCUGCUUGAGCGAGAGGCCAAGUGGCUCCCACCCGGUAUUUGGAUUCCAUUGCCAGGACUCAACCCAACCAAUGGCACCAAUUCGACCGGAUAACACGAUUAGAUUCAACGGGAAACAAAUUAUUUAUUGCACACUUAUUUAUUUAUUUCAUACAAUUUUAAUAAAAGUUUUUGGCCAAAUA
Molecule: long non-coding RNA, 364 nt
Organism: Folsomia candida
Lineage: Eukaryota; Metazoa; Arthropoda; Collembola; Entomobryomorpha; Isotomidae
Exons: 3
Source: RefSeq, a predicted model, not a curated record